GCCCGGUUAGCUCAGCUGGUUAGAGCGUCGUACUAAUAUAGCAUCACUGUUAUAUCAAGUCAUGCGAAGGUCAACAGUUCAAUCCUGUUACUGGGCA
Molecule: non-coding RNA, 97 nt
Organism: Parathielavia hyrcaniae
Lineage: Eukaryota; Fungi; Ascomycota; Sordariomycetes; Sordariales; Chaetomiaceae
Source: the annotation of a GenBank genome assembly